RNAcentral lists this ribosomal RNA (981 nucleotides) under metagenome. RNAcentral's name for it is "bacterial LSU rRNA". It matches the Rfam family "Bacterial large subunit ribosomal RNA", at positions 1950 to 2925 of the family's 2925-position model. The record is from RNAcentral. RNAcentral also lists the same sequence under 1 other name.
CCUAAGGUAGCGAAAUUCCUUGUCGGGUAAGUUCCGACCUGCACGAAUGGCGUAAUGAUGGCCAGGCUGUCUCCACCCGAGACUCAGUGAAAUUGAACUCGCUGUGAAGAUGCAGUGUACCCGCGGCAAGACGGAAAGACCCCGUGAACCUUUACUAUAGCUUGACACUGAACAUUGAGCCUUGAUGUGUAGGAUAGGUGGGAGGCUUUGAAGCGUGGACGCCAGUCUGCGUGGAGCCAACCUUGAAAUACCACCCUUUAAUGUUUGAUGUUCUAACGUUGGCCCCUUACCGGGGUUGCGGACAGUGUCUGGUGGGUAGUUUGACUGGGGCGGUCUCCUCCCAAAGCGUAACGGAGGAGCACGAAGGUUAGCUAAUCCUGGUCGGACAUCAGGAGGUUAGUGCAAUGGCAUAAGCUAGCUUGACUGCGAGCGUGACGGCGCGAGCAGGUGCGAAAGCAGGUCAUAGUGAUCCGGUGGUUCUGAAUGGAAGGGCCAUCGCUCAACGGAUAAAAGGUACUCCGGGGAUAACAGGCUGAUACCGCCCAAGAGUUCAUAUCGACGGCGGUGUUUGGCACCUCGAUGUCGGCUCAUCACAUCCUGGGGCUGAAGUAGGUCCCAAGGGUAUGGCUGUUCGCCAUUUAAAGUGGUACGCGAGCUGGGUUUAGAACGUCGUGAGACAGUUCGGUCCCUAUCUGCCGUGGGCGCUGGAGAAUUGAGGGGGGCUGCUCCUAGUACGAGAGGACCGGAGUGGACGCAUCACUGGUGUUCGGGUUGUCAUGCCAAUGGCACUGCCCGGUAGCUAAAUGCGGAAGAGAUAAGUGCUGAAAGCAUCUAAGCACGAAACUUGCCCCGAGAUGAGUUCUCCCUGAGACUUUAAGUCUCCUGAAGGAACGUUGAAGACGACGACGUUGAUAGGCCGGGUGUGUAAGCGCAGCGAUGCGUUGAGCUAACCGGUACUAAUGAACCGUGAGGCUUAACCUU